RNAcentral lists this long non-coding RNA (449 nucleotides) under Bos taurus (domestic cattle). RNAcentral describes it as "long non-coding RNA NONBTAT016815". The record is from RNAcentral. Lineage: Eukaryota; Metazoa; Chordata; Mammalia; Artiodactyla; Bovidae.
UUUAGAUUUUUGAGUAUUGAGUCGAUUCAAAAUGGAGUACACUUGAACAUCCAUUUACAUGUAUACCUGCAACAUGCUGCUUAUGCAUGUGUGUUAAAGACAGUCCGCAUGGUUUGGACUGUGUUCCUUCCAUCAGGUAAGCUUGUUUAGGUCAGCUCUGUGUAGACAUAAGCACCCCCUCUCCUUUCCACUCCAUGACUACAGGGGUGACCUCAGGGAGACCAGUGCAGCUUAGAACAAGGAUGCCAUCCUGAUGCCAAACCCAGCUGCCCCUUCCUUCAUGAGACAUCAGACUAAAAAGCUGCUAGCCCGCAUUCUUAGAUCUAGACCUUGACUCUCAUUCUGAAGGGUAUUCAGAUAAAGAAAAGGCACCCAUUUUCCUCAGACCUGCAGGGCAUGAAAUAACUAUGGUUGCUCCUGGGGAAGCCCAAUACCAUAAACUGACUCUC